CACCCCCUUGGACUUCUGUUCAAAGAUGAGAACAAGUCCACAGAGUUGGCUGAUGUUCUACAGCAUCUCCAGAAUGAGUAUGUUCCAAAGGGCCCAGAUGGACCGCAGAGCAUUUUAGUCGGUGGUGACAGACUAACGGAGGGAAAUAGCCGCGGCAUACAGUUGGCCUUUGCCGAAGGAGAAAAUGUGGACGACAGGCUGGAAGGCCUUGUCUUUAAGUUUGAAGAUUGGCACGCAAUUAGAAACCUUUUUGAGAUCUAUCAUCGGGUCUUUUACAAAGAGGGUUCGGCAAGGGAUCAUGGGACACUCCUCGCCAAUAUGAAUAAGUUGAGGUUUUUCCCUUUGAACGAUGAACCCCAGCCACCAUGAAUUACGGCUCGGUACUUCAUCACGACUUUUUCUGCUCUGUCCUGUUGUCCAGCCACCAUGAAUUACGGCUCGGUACUUCAACACGACUUUUUCUGCUCUGUCCUGUUGUCCAGCCACCAUGAAUUACGGCUUGAUGCAGCAAUGCAAAGCAAGGUCCACGUGCUGCUUUCAAUGCAUACAAGGAGUUUGUGCAGAAGGACACUACAGCUCUCUUCUUGGCUGCGGCAAUGGAGCACUUUGGACUACAGAAUGUGUCAGAUGUCCCAGACGGAUUCAUCCCAGACCACAUCUUAACUGGUACACUAGAGGACAAAAGGACCUGGCUGCAUGGUGUAGUCUCCCAAAUUGUGGACAAAUUUGUCAUAUUUGAGGACAUUUCUGACAUUGUCAGCGGUGUAACAGAUACAGCCAGUGACCUGCCCAAACAGGGAGAGAAGCUCUCUUGCCGCGCCACAGGUUGCAAGCGUGUAUACAAGUACAUAAAGGCUAGGGAAAACCAUGAGAAAAGAGAGCAUGGGUUGACAGUAUCUCCCAAGGCACCUUCAUAUACAGACAGUCAAAGAUCAGUGUUAGACCACAAAAAGCAACACACAGAGGCUAGACUGGGUUUUGGAUUCUUCUUGGCUGACCUGCAGGAUGCAGUUAAGGAGGGAGACGGAGACAGGCUAAUGCGAUUGUAUACUGUAGCGUUGAUCUUCUACAAGGCCUACGGGCAUACACAGUAUGCAUACAGCACGCUACUUCUAACCUUGCAGGUUAAUCACACACUUUCCCCUCGCUUAGCACACAGUCUGGUGUGGAAUAGGUUUUGGAAUGGGAAGGGAGGAAUGGGAAGGAACAUUUCACUAGAUCUACACCUAGAACACCUAAACAAUUUCCUUAAGUCCUUUUUAAAACGCAGUGGUCCAAACCUUAACGAGCAAACAGCAGACAGAGUCAGCAAGUCAAUUGGGGUCCUGAAAACUUUGAUGGAGACCACAGACAGAGAACUACAGGUCUUAAAGUCCUCUGGUGUACAUCAUGCUGCUAGUCAGA
Long non-coding RNA from Cyprinodon tularosa, 1404 nucleotides. RefSeq lists it as uncharacterized. The record is from RefSeq and is a predicted model, not a curated record. Lineage: Eukaryota; Metazoa; Chordata; Actinopteri; Cyprinodontiformes; Cyprinodontidae. The transcript has 6 exons.